RNAcentral lists this long non-coding RNA (925 nucleotides) under Mytilus galloprovincialis (Mediterranean mussel). The record is from RNAcentral. Lineage: Eukaryota; Metazoa; Mollusca; Bivalvia; Mytilida; Mytilidae.
GGUCACUUCCGGUUUGUUGGAAGUCAUUUUUAGUCUUCAGUAAUCAGUUUAUGUAUCUAUAUGACAAAAUAUAUGGAUUCUGAGUACUUUUAUACGAAAAAAUUGCAAAAAAAGGUUACUUCCGGUUUUCUAAAGGUCACUUCCGGUAGUCAUUUUUCAAGGUCAUUUGUCAUCCAACCUUUUGCACAAGGUCAAAUGCCAUUAAAAUGCACUUAGUUGAAGUUAUAAUCAAAUAACCUCAUAUCAAGACUUUUCAGGGGCACUAACUCCUAUUAGAUGCUAUUUAAUUGUAUCAGACCAAAUGUAACAUAUCUUCAUAACUAUAUAGCAAUCAUUUUGCACUUGUUCUUUAAUAUGUACCUUUUCAAGGGUUGGAGAAAAUGCAAAAACAUGGAAAAUUCCGAAUUUAGAACUUGACCUUGACCUUUGACCUUGACCCCAUUUUCUAAUAAAGGGCCUAGGGAUCUCAAAUAAAUACAUUCCAGGGUUAUACGGUUGACGGUUUAUUAGUUAAUAACACAUAUUGAGAAAAUAAUUUUGUAAAGGUAGAUAACUCCUAUAAAAUUUCAUCGAAUCGCUUCGAUCCAAAUUAGCCAAAUUUUCCUUAGGAUGUAAUGAACAAUUUGUAAAAAGAAUUUUGUCGCUUUCUUUUUUUGUUACAAAGGAGAUGCACUCUGAUGAUAAACAGUGAAUAGGGAGAUAACUCUUACAAAGAAAAGUGUUCGGCUUAGCAGGGUUAAAUGUAAAAGCGCAUAAACUGUACGAUACAAUAUGAGAAAUAUCUAAGCGACAUAUUGCGAAACAAACAUUUGUCGCAAUAUCAAAAUUAGGCGGAAGAAAAAAAAAAAAAAAAAAAAAUAAUAAUAAUCAGAAGAAAUACAAUAGGUCUUUCCACAGAAAAGUGGAAAGACCUAAUAAUUUAAAA